UACAGACUUUUGGCCCUGUUUUGGCCUGGUGGGCGUGGCUACACAGAGAGGGGCGGGGAAUCAUGAGUGACAGCAGACCGCUGCAGGCUCAAGAUGGUCCAUUUUUCAUGUUGCCUUCAGGAAACCUGGGAAUGAACAUAAUUUAUCAAACACCUCCUGCACUGUAUUAUUUGAUAAUGUUUAGAAAACAUGUCAUGCAUAACUGCUAAAACUCAGUUACUAAAGCUCUUUCAAGCAGUAAUGUGUACAAAUUACGCCGUAACUGAUCAAUUAUGAGACGUUUUCCCAGCCACUACGUGAGAAGUGGUCAUUUCCCAUGCUCUCAAAGUAGCGCGCAUUGUAUCGGAUGGGGGCUGCUGUUAACUUGUCCCUCAGUGAACGAUGGCGUCGUCUUCCAACAACACUGCUGGCGCGAACAAUCAGCUCAACAGAAACGCCUCGCUAUCAUUUUCGGCUGAAAGGGUUAGGGUUAGGGUUAGUCCUAUAGUCAAUUCAGAAUGGGUCUGCUGGAGGCUUUUCAUCUUGGCCAGGAAUUUAACAAUGUGUAAAGCAUAGCAUUGUCUAUCAAUAGUUUUGAGGUGUAACUCAAAAUGCUGCUCCUUCCAUUUAAUGUUCAGGAAGCACAUUUCAAAGUUGGAGAUUGACAGCCAGAGUUCUUUAAUGAGUGGCAUGAAGCACACAAAAACAUACAGGUUUACUGUUGAAAAAUGUGCCAGAGACAAAAAAAAUAGUUUGUAAUGUGAUGCUUGAGUGUUCACAUAAAAAUUUCCUGGCAGGUUCAUUUUACAUGUAUAUCACAUCAAAUAAAAGUCUGAGCUAUUCAUGAACCUUCUCUGGGUUGAAAAUUCAAAAUAAAAAUGUUGCCGCCUAGGAACGGUGAGUUAGUACAAAGUUAAGUACAUCCAAAUAAAUGUCUCGGCCAUGUGA
Oreochromis niloticus (Nile tilapia) is the source of this 927-nucleotide long non-coding RNA. RefSeq lists it as uncharacterized. The transcript is spliced from 2 exons. Lineage: Eukaryota; Metazoa; Chordata; Actinopteri; Cichliformes; Cichlidae. The record is from RefSeq and is a predicted model, not a curated record.